This 762-nucleotide ribosomal RNA is filed under the name Microbacterium testaceum. Its description in RNAcentral is "bacterial SSU rRNA". It matches the Rfam family "Bacterial small subunit ribosomal RNA", at positions 673 to 1432 of the family's 1533-position model. The record is from RNAcentral. Lineage: Bacteria; Bacillati; Actinomycetota; Actinomycetes; Micrococcales; Microbacteriaceae.
GUGUAGCGGUGGAAUGCGCAGAUAUCAGGAGGAACACCGAUGGCGAAGGCAGAUCUCUGGGCCGUAACUGACGCUGAGGAGCGAAAGGGUGGGGAGCAAACAGGCUUAGAUACCCUGGUAGUCCACCCCGUAAACGUUGGGAACUAGUUGUGGGGGCCAUUCCACGGUCUCCGUGACGCAGCUAACGCAUUAAGUUCCCCGCCUGGGGAGUACGGCCGCAAGGCUAAAACUCAAAGGAAUUGACGGGGACCCGCACAAGCGGCGGAGCAUGCGGAUUAAUUCGAUGCAACGCGAAGAACCUUACCAAGGCUUGACAUACACCAGAACGGGCCAGAAAUGGUCAACUCUUUGGACACUGGUGAACAGGUGGUGCAUGGUUGUCGUCAGCUCGUGUCGUGAGAUGUUGGGUUAAGUCCCGCAACGAGCGCAACCCUCGUUCUAUGUUGCCAGCACGUAAUGGUGGGAACUCAUGGGAUACUGCCGGGGUCAACUCGGAGGAAGGUGGGGAUGACGUCAAAUCAUCAUGCCCCUUAUGUCUUGGGCUUCACGCAUGCUACAAUGGCCGGUACAAAGGGCUGCAAUACCGUGAGGUGGAGCGAAUCCCAAAAAGCCGGUCCCAGUUCGGAUUGAGGUCUGCAACUCGACCUCAUGAAGUCGGAGUCGCUAGUAAUCGCAGAUCAGCAACGCUGCGGUGAAUACGUUCCCGGGUCUUGUACACACCGCCCGUCAAGUCAUGAAAGUCGGUAACACCUGAAGCCGGUG